UGGGGAAUAUUUGACAAUGGGCGCAAGCCUGAUCCAGCCAUGCCGCGUGAGUGAUGAAGGCCCUAGGGUUGUAAAGCUCUUUCACCGGUGAAGAUAAUGACGGUAACCGGAGAAGAAGCCCCGGCUAACUUCGUGCCAGCAGCCGCGGUAAUACGAAGGGGGCUAGCGUUGUUCGGAUUUACUGGGCGUAAAGCGCACGUAGGCGGACUAUUAAGUCAGGGGUGAAAUCCCGGGGCUCAACCCCGGAACUGCCUUUGAUACUGGUAGUCUUGAGUUCGAGAGAGGUGAGUGGAAUUCCGAGUGUAGAGGUGAAAUUCGUAGAUAUUCGGAGGAACACCAGUGGCGAAGGCGGCUCACUGGCUCGAUACUGACGCUGAGGUGCGAAAGCGUGGGGAGCAAACAGG
RNAcentral lists this ribosomal RNA (404 nucleotides) under Actinomycetes bacterium. Its description in RNAcentral is "Actinobacteria bacterium partial 16S ribosomal RNA". It matches the Rfam family "Bacterial small subunit ribosomal RNA", at positions 355 to 776 of the family's 1533-position model. The record is from RNAcentral. RNAcentral also lists the same sequence under 1 other name. Lineage: Bacteria; Bacillati; Actinomycetota; Actinomycetes.